CCUACGGGGGGCAGCAGUGGGGAAUAUUGCACAAUGGGGGAAACCCUGAUGCAGCGACGCCGCGUGAGUGAAGAAGUAAUUCGUUACGUAAAGCUCUAUCAGCAGGGAAGAAAAUGACGGUACCUGAGUAAGAAGCCCCGGCUAACUACGUGCCAGCAGCCGCGGUACUACGGAGGGGGCCAGCGUUAUCCGGCUUUACUGGGUGUAAAGGGAGCUGAGACGGUUGUCCAAGUCUGUAGUGAAAUGCCGCAGCUUAACUGCGGAACUGCUUUGGAAACUGGCGCACUAGAGUGCGGGAGGGGUAAGCGGAAUGCCUAGUGUAGCGAUGAAAUGCGUAGAUAUUAGGAGGAACACCGGUGGCGAAGGCGGCUUACUGGACCGUAACUGACGUUGAGGCUCGAAAGCGUGGGGAGCAAACAGGAUUAGAUACCCUGGUAGUC
RNAcentral lists this ribosomal RNA (440 nucleotides) under uncultured bacterium. RNAcentral describes it as "partial 16S ribosomal RNA". It matches the Rfam family "Bacterial small subunit ribosomal RNA", at positions 338 to 795 of the family's 1533-position model. The record is from RNAcentral.